ACCAUCAUCGUCUAGUGGUUUAGGAUACCAGGUUUUCAUUCUGGGGGCCGGGGUUCGAUCCCCCGUGAUGGUG
Non-coding RNA from Xylariaceae sp. FL1272, 73 nucleotides. The record is from the annotation of a GenBank genome assembly. NCBI's taxonomy places the organism in Eukaryota, Fungi, Ascomycota, Sordariomycetes, Xylariales, Xylariaceae.